AUCUAGGCUCUUGCAUCGAUGAAGAACGUAGCGAAAUGCGAUACUUGGUGUGAAUUGCAGAAUCCCGUGAACCAUCGAGUCUUUGAACGCAAGUUGCGCCCGAUGCCAUUAGGUUGAGGGCACGUCUGCCUGGGUGUCACAUAUCGAAGCCUCCUGCCAA
Molecule: ribosomal RNA, 160 nt
Filed under: Lathyrus inconspicuus
Lineage: Eukaryota; Viridiplantae; Streptophyta; Magnoliopsida; Fabales; Fabaceae
Description: 5.8S ribosomal RNA
Rfam family: 5.8S ribosomal RNA (bases 1-139)
About the family: 5.8S ribosomal RNA (5.8S rRNA) is a component of the large subunit of the eukaryotic ribosome. It is transcribed by RNA polymerase I as part of the 45S precursor that also contains 18S and 28S rRNA. Functionally, it is thought that 5.8S rRNA may be involved in ribosome translocation.
Source: RNAcentral